GGGGAAAGAGGCAACAGGUGAGCUUAAAUAUGGUGCAUGCAUAGCAGCAUGUAAUGUGGAAAACAAAAAUGAACACAAAAAUGCAAGAUUAACACAAAAUGAAAGUGUGCUUUUAAGAAAUAACUACAAAGAGCUUCAUAUAAAAGAGAGCAGUCUCUCUCAGGCUCCUUCAGUGUUCAUUUCGCUCUUGUGAAGGGAUGCUGGAGAACCUAGACCAGUUUGUCUGUUCACUUGUCUGUUCAUCUGGCAUUCAAUGAGAUAAAGAUUUAUGGUCCCAGUGACUGAAAAACAAUAGUCCCUAAAGUAAAACCAAAGGCACAUUUUGAAGGUUGUCAUGGUCCUGGGCCAUGUGGGCCCAGCAUUCUUAGUUUUCAUGUAUUUUUGUAUUUUGUUCUUUAUUUAGGCCAUGCUUCCUGGGUUGAUCUGUUACGUUGUUCCUUAUGUGUUUUCCCUUCGUGACUCUUACCCCCUGUGUGCCCCUCUGUGUAUUUAUGAGCCCUCGUCUCCCUUUGUGGUUGUUUCAUGUUUCCCCAGCCCGUUAUGUCUGUGUUUUUCCCCGUGCUCUCUCUCCUCCUGUCUGAACCUCUGUGCCUGUACAUGUCAUGUUCAGUUCACCCAGCCCUGUCUCGUUAUGAUUAUCAGUGUCACCUGUGUUCCCCGUGUGUGCCCACUUUCCUCGUUUACCCUCUGUGUAUUUCUGUCUGAGUCUCCCUCUGUUCGGUGUCGUGUUCUCCCUCAUGCUGUGUGUGAUUCCCCUGUGUUCCUUGGUGAGCUUUAUGUUAGUUUUUCCCAGUUUAGUUUUGUAUUGUUUCUCGUGGCCAGCAAUAAAGCUGUGUUUUUGAGUUCACCCCCGUGUCGUACUACGGUGUACAUUUUAGGACAUCGUCAGGUAUCAGACAAAAAAUUGUCAGGUGUCAGUUGUCAAAAAAAAAAGUUGUCAGGUAUCAGAAAAAAAAUUGUCAGGUGUCAGAAAAAAAAUUGUCAGGUGUCAGUUGUCAAAAAAAAAAAAAGUCAGGUAUCAGAAAAAAAAUUGUCAGGUGUCAGAAAAAAAGUUGUCAGGUGUCAGAAAAAAAGUUGUCAGGUGUCAGACAAAAAAUUGUCAGGUGUCAGUUGUCAAAAAAAAAAAAGUCAGGUAUCAGAAAAAAAAUUGUCAGGUGUCAGAAAAAAAGUUGUCAGGUGUCAGAAAAAAAGUUGUCAGGUGUCAGAAAAAAAGUUGUCAGGUGUCAGACAAAAAAGUUGUCAGGUGUCAGAAAAAAAAUUGUCAGGUAUCAGAACACAAGGUACCAGAGAGAAAAUCUUCCUGCAGGUGGCGCUGUUGUCAUGUCCCACCCGAAUUGAUUUCCAAAUACGUCAUCAACGUGUGACCGUGGGAGAGCGUAAGGUCAUUGACCUCACCGGAGUUUUACCGUGGUUCAGGCUCCUAACGACACAAGGUAAGUUUAACUUUUUCUCCCUUUUGUUCAUAUUUUUGCCACAGUUGUGUUAUAUUAAGUUGCAGUUAUGUUGUGAAAGUUACAUAUCAGAGACGGAAAGCCAGUUUUGUACGAAACCAAAUCAGUACUAUUUUUGUCUGGCUAAUUCAUUCUAGCUAGCGACAGUGGUGAAACGUGAUUCAAAUUUAAACUGUUCAGUAAUUGUUUUGUAUACAUUUCAGCAAAUGGACAAGCUGAAAGCUUACGAGCAGCCUGCAUCCUUUCUGUCGCUCUUUUUCUUUAUUUCUCUUUUCUAUAUUGCUACUGUCGGGAUAUUUUUUGAUCCCGAUUUUUUUUUCUGUUAUUGUUUUUAGACUUUGCUGCAAUAUGUCAUCUGACGAUGAUGAAAGGAGUAUCCGACUCUGGCUGGUUCCCAUGACUGUACCAAAAAUACUUUUUUUUUUAUUAAAAAAAGAGCAUUAAAAAUAAAUGACUAAAGUACAACUUAUUUAUUAACUACUGUUCACCUAUUUAAUAUCAAAGAAGUGUAUUUUUUGCUACACGUUUUAUUUGUGGGCACUGAAUUGACGAUGCUUUUAGUGUAAUUGCCACAUAAAAAGAUUUAGUACUUUACUGGUUAAUUACUUAUGUUCAGUGUAAGAGGUGGGUGAUCAAUUAGACUGUUGUUGUUACACUUAACCUUUCAAGAUAUGAUGAUAAUAACAUUGUUCAACAAAGGCUUAAAACAAAAGGAAAUCAGCUGUGCACUGAAUUCAUAUGGGCAUAAAAUAAGUGAGAGGCAUCUGAGACGAGUUUUAAAACUUCUAGGGUUGAAGCGAAGAUGCCCCCAACGACC
Astatotilapia calliptera (eastern happy) is the source of this 2268-nucleotide long non-coding RNA. The record is from Ensembl. Lineage: Eukaryota; Metazoa; Chordata; Actinopteri; Cichliformes; Cichlidae.